This 248-nucleotide long non-coding RNA is filed under the name Brassica napus (rape). Its description in RNAcentral is "long non-coding RNA (BNAP_LNC015021)". Lineage: Eukaryota; Viridiplantae; Streptophyta; Magnoliopsida; Brassicales; Brassicaceae. The record is from RNAcentral.
GUCGAUCGAUAUUUUGAAAGGUGUAUCGAUAUAUAUUCUUUACGAAUCAUCGAUCGACACUUUCUCGCGAUAAACCUACGAGAGUUCAAAUCCGUGAUCCCGAUUAGAUAAUCUAAUUGAUUAUAUCUGAGUUUGAAUUCGAGAACAAUUAAUAUCAUUAAACCCCUAAAAAGCCAAAUUAAGUUAUUUACUUAUCAUACCUGAGAAUAUACUUGAAUCUAGCUAUUCCCACAACUGUUAACAACCUC